GGAGAGUUGUCCGAGAGGCCGAAGGAGCAGCAUUGGAAAUGCUGUAUACGGGUUAAAGCCUGUAUCAAGGGUUCGAAUCCCUUACUCUCCG
RNAcentral lists this transfer RNA (91 nucleotides) under Lactobacillus sp. RNAcentral describes it as "tRNA-Ser". It matches the Rfam family "tRNA". From Rfam's summary of the family: Transfer RNA (tRNA) molecules are approximately 80 nucleotides in length. RNAcentral also lists the same sequence under 3 other names. The record is from RNAcentral. Lineage: Bacteria; Bacillati; Bacillota; Bacilli; Lactobacillales; Lactobacillaceae.